This 880-nucleotide ribosomal RNA is filed under the name uncultured bacterium. Its description in RNAcentral is "bacterial SSU rRNA". It matches the Rfam family "Bacterial small subunit ribosomal RNA", at positions 28 to 903 of the family's 1533-position model. The record is from RNAcentral.
AUUGAACGCUGGCGGCAGGCUUAACACAUGCAAGUCGAGCGGGGAAAUGUAGCUUGCUACAUUACCUAGCGGCGGACGGGUGAGUAAUGCUUAGGAAUCUGCCUAUUAGUGGGGGACAACAUUUCGAAAGGAAUGCUAAUACCGCAUACGCCCUACGGGGGAAAGCAGGGGAUCUUCGGACCUUGCGCUAAUAGAUGAGCCUAAGUCGGAUUAGCUAGUUGGUGGGGUAAAGGCCUACCAAGGCGACGAUCUGUAGCGGGUCUGAGAGGAUGAUCCGCCACACUGGGACUGAGACACGGCCCAGACUCCUACGGGAGGCAGCAGUGGGGAAUAUUGGACAAUGGGGGGAACCCUGAUCCAGCCAUGCCGCGUGUGUGAAGAAGGCCUUUUGGUUGUAAAGCACUUUAAGCGAGGAGGAGGCUACCUAGAUUAAUACUCUGGGAUAGUGGACGUUACUCGCAGAAUAAGCACCGGCUAACUCUGUGCCAGCAGCCGCGGUAAUACAGAGGGUGCAAGCGUUAAUCGGAUUUACUGGGCGUAAAGCGUGCGUAGGUGGCCAAUUAAGUCAAAUGUGAAAUCCCCGAGCUUAACUUGGGAAUUGCAUUCGAUACUGGUUGGCUAGAGUAUGGGAGAGGAUGGUAGAAUUCCAGGUGUAGCGGUGAAAUGCGUAGAGAUCUGGAGGAAUACCGAUGGCGAAGGCAGCCAUCUGGCCUAAUACUGACACUGAGGUACGAAAGCAUGGGGAGCAAACAGGAUUAGAUACCCUGGUAGUCCAUGCCGUAAACGAUGUCUACUAGCCGUUGGGGUCUUUGAGACUUUAGUGGCGCAGCUAACGCGAUAAGUAGACCGCCUGGGGAGUACGGUCGCAGACUAAAACUCA